UUUGUUGGCAAUGGGAGUGAAGAAAAGAAAUCUCUCCAAGGAAAGCACUCCAUGUGAAGCCGUGAAGAAGCCAAAGGAAAAUAGUGUUGGGAAAAACCGCAAGGUGGGUUGAUCCUCUUAAGGCCUGAUCGUUGUGGCCCACUCCGGUUUGCAAUAGCUGGAGCAUUUCUUAAUAAAUUAUACAAAGACUAUCUUGGUAUUAUUAGGAGUAAUUAUGGUGGGAAUCGUGGUUCUCAAUCAUUUUUCAUGAAGUGCUGUUUGUUAAUAAUGUGGGUUUGAAGCUCAUCAUGUUGUGUGCAUGAUAUCCAAUUUGUCCAUCACAUUUGCCACUACGUUUUCUUCUUAUAUCCCAAAACUCAGGCCCAUUCAAGACUUAAAAUUCAACUACAUUAAUCAUUUUGGUGGUUUAAUCCAAACUGUCUAAAAUUUAUUUCUUGA
Molecule: long non-coding RNA, 438 nt
Organism: Magnolia sinica
Lineage: Eukaryota; Viridiplantae; Streptophyta; Magnoliopsida; Magnoliales; Magnoliaceae
Exons: 2
Source: RefSeq, a predicted model, not a curated record